GACGAACGCUGGCGGCGUGCUUAACACAUGCAAGUCGAACGGAAAGGCCCUUCGGGGUACUCGAGUGGCGAACGGGUGAGUAACACGUGGGUGAUCUGCCCUGCACUUUGGGAUAAGCCUGGGAAACUGGGUCUAAUACCGAAUAGGACCACGCGCUUCAUGGUGUGUGGUGGAAAGCUUUCGCGGUGUGGGAUGGGCCCGCGGCCUAUCAGCUUGUUGGUGGGGUAAUGGCCUACCAAGGCGACGACGGGUAGCCGGCCUGAGAGGGUGACCGGCCACACUGGGACUGAGAUACGGCCCAGACUCCUACGGGAGGCAGCAGUGGGGAAUAUUGCACAAUGGGCGCAAGCCUGAUGCAGCGACGCCGCGUGAGGGAUGACGGCCUUCGGGUUGUAAACCUCUUUCAAUAGGGACGAAGCGCAAGUGACGAUACCUAUAGAAGAAGCACCGGCCAACUACGUG
RNAcentral lists this ribosomal RNA (462 nucleotides) under uncultured bacterium. RNAcentral's name for it is "partial 16S ribosomal RNA". It matches the Rfam family "Bacterial small subunit ribosomal RNA", at positions 28 to 507 of the family's 1533-position model. The record is from RNAcentral.